AUGCUACAGGGAGCAGGGGGGGCUCAGAAGGUGUCUGUACAAAAACUAACUCCUGCCACCCUUCUUCCAGAGCCCACCCCCCUUGAGCCCAUGCCCCAUGACCCCGACGUGCAUGUCCUCCACUCCUCCUGCACCAACCACCCAAACACUAUCCAGCUGGUGUGCUUCAUCUCCGGCUUCUACCCCGAGCCUUUGACGGUGGAAUGGCUGGUAAACGGCCAGCCCGGGAUACUUCGUGGUCACACCGCCUCUGCCAAGAAGGAUGGCGACGGUCGCACCUUCAACACCCGCAGCAAUGCCAGUGUCUCCCAGGAUGAGUGGCUGGAGGGCAAGACAUACACCUGCCAGGUGUCCCACCCGGGCACCGGGAGCACAAAGCAGGACCACACCCGCAAGUGCGAAGAAGAAAUGACAUCUCCCAGCAACAUCCAGGUCUUCCUGGUGCCCCCGUCUCCCGCCGCCCUGUACGUGGCCCAGAGCCCCAUGCUCAUGUGUCUGGUGGUCAACCUGCCUAGCAACUCCAGCCUCCAGGUGGUCUGGUCCCGGGAGAAGCCAGGGUCCGUUAGCCCUGAUCGCCUGGACCUCGCUGAGCAGUUCAACGGAACCUUCACUGCCUCCAGCUCCAUGCCCAUCCUCACCCGCGACUCGGAAGUCGGAGAGACCUUCACCUGCAAAGUGGAGCACUCGGAGCUGCCCUCGUCCCUCAUCAAAUCAAUCUCCAAGAAGCCAGGUAGAAGGAGAGCAGG
Terrapene triunguis (Three-toed box turtle) is the source of this 746-nucleotide non-coding RNA. The record is from the annotation of a RefSeq genome assembly. NCBI's taxonomy places the organism in Eukaryota, Metazoa, Chordata, Testudines, Emydidae.